Molecule: unclassified non-coding RNA, 433 nt
Filed under: Hevea brasiliensis (rubber tree)
Lineage: Eukaryota; Viridiplantae; Streptophyta; Magnoliopsida; Malpighiales; Euphorbiaceae
Source: RNAcentral
GGGAAGUUGGUGUUAACUGCGCGAAUGAUGAAGCAGGGUCUGCAUCAAAUCAGAAGCAAUUAUUUCUUUGGGUGGAUGACUACAAAUGCUCUAUUUGUGGUAUUGAACUGCCUCCUAGUUUCAUUGAAGAAAGGCAAGAACAUUCUGAUUUUCAUCUUGCUGAAAAGUUGCAAGGUGAAGAAUCAGGUAACCACCACAGAAGUUUUAUGCCACAACAGAGGGCUGCUCAGAGAGGCCAUACUGGAAGCAGCAGUCGGCAGAAAAAGAAACAGAAACCCUCUCCAACUGCUAGCAAAUAUGUACCAAUUGAUGCAUUCUUUGUUAAAACGAACCAGAAUUUUUGAAAGGCAUAACAUAGUGAAACUCUAUUUAUUGAGAAGAUAAUAAUAAAAUUUUCUUUUUCCAUGUACAACACAACAUAUCCAGUGUGGGG